GGCCAGCUAGCUCAGCUGGUAGAACAUGAGACUCUUAAUCUCAGGGUUGUAGGUUCAUGACCCACGUUGGGUG
Molecule: transfer RNA, 73 nt
Filed under: Mesocricetus auratus (golden hamster)
Lineage: Eukaryota; Metazoa; Chordata; Mammalia; Rodentia; Cricetidae
Rfam family: tRNA
About the family: Transfer RNA (tRNA) molecules are approximately 80 nucleotides in length. Their secondary structure includes four short double-helical elements and three loops (D, anti-codon, and T loops).
Source: Rfam by way of RNAcentral